GCGAUGGCCGUCGUCAGUUCGUACUGUGAAGCAUCCUGUUAAGUCAGGCAACGAGCGAGACCCACGCCCACAGUUGCCAGCGUACUCUCCGGAGUGACGGGUACACUGUGGGGACCGCCGCUGCUAAAGCGGAGGAAGGAAUGGGCAACGGUAGGUCAGUAUGCCCCGAAUAUCCCGGGCUACACGCGAGCUACAAUGGUUGGUACAAUGGGUAUCUACCCCGAAAGGGGACGGAAAUCUCCUAAAACCAAUCUUAGUUCGGAUUGAGGGCUGCAACUCGCCCUCAUGAAGCUGGAAUCCGUAGUAAUCGCGUUUCAACAGAACGCGGUGAAUACGUCCCUGCUCCUU
This 348-nucleotide ribosomal RNA is filed under the name uncultured Methanosaeta sp. RNAcentral describes it as "bacterial SSU rRNA". It matches the Rfam family "Archaeal small subunit ribosomal RNA", at positions 990 to 1338 of the family's 1478-position model. Lineage: Archaea; Methanobacteriati; Methanobacteriota; Methanomicrobia; Methanotrichales; Methanotrichaceae. The record is from RNAcentral.